Molecule: ribosomal RNA, 401 nt
Filed under: Escherichia coli
Lineage: Bacteria; Pseudomonadati; Pseudomonadota; Gammaproteobacteria; Enterobacterales; Enterobacteriaceae
Description: bacterial SSU rRNA
Rfam family: Bacterial small subunit ribosomal RNA
Source: RNAcentral
GUGAGACAGGUGCUGCAUGGCUGUCGUCAGCUCGUGUUGUGAAAUGUUGGGUUAAGUCCCGCAACGAGCGCAACCCUUAUCCUUUGUUGCCAGCGGUCCGGCCGGGAACUCAAAGGAGACUGCCAGUGAUAAACUGGAGGAAGGUGGGGAUGACGUCAAGUCAUCAUGGCCCUUACGACCAGGGCUACACACGUGCUACAAUGGCGCAUACAAAGAGAAGCGACCUCGCGAGAGCAAGCGGACCUCAUAAAGUGCGUCGUAGUCCGGAUUGGAGUCUGCAACUCGACUCCAUGAAGUCGGAAUCGCUAGUAAUCGUGGAUCAGAAUGCCACGGUGAAUACGUUCCCGGGCCUUGUACACACCGCCCGUCACACCAUGGGAGUGGGUUGCAAAAGAAGUAGG